RNAcentral lists this transfer RNA (70 nucleotides) under Oplegnathus fasciatus (barred knifejaw). RNAcentral's name for it is "tRNA-Pro". The record is from RNAcentral. Lineage: Eukaryota; Metazoa; Chordata; Actinopteri; Centrarchiformes; Oplegnathidae.
UCAAAGAAAGGAGAUUCUAACUCCUACCCCUGACUCCCAAAGCUAGGAUUCUAAACUAAACUACUCUUUG